GGAAGAUGUAACGCUGUGAUUACUUCGAUCACUGGGGACAAGGAACCAUGGUCACGGUGUCGGCAGAUCCCGAUACAUGCCCCUCUGUUUUUCCCAUCGCACCUUGCUGCUCAGCGUUGGAUGGCAGACCAGUAAAUAUUGGUUGUCGGGUCACAGGUCUCUCAGAUCCAAAUACUUACGCAUCAUGGGAAUCAUCUUCUGGUCAAGUUACAGGACCACAAGUAAAGGAGUAUCCAAGUGUUUUUGGCCGUGGCAGUUACUCAUCAUAUACUUUGUUAAAUGUAUCUUCUAACGAUUUCAAAAGCAAGAGCUACAAGUGUAAAUUAAACAGAAUUGUUAAAGCUGUUCCAGUGUGUCAGAAGCCACAGGUAUUAAAAGUCAAAGUGUAUGCAGGCAAGUGUGCAUCAGAUUUUAAGGAACUAAUCUGCCUAGUUGAUGACCAUUUCCCUAAAGAUGUGUCCAUUAUUUGGACAGUGAAUGAAGAACCAGUUUCAGCAAGCAAUAAAACUGUUGUGAAAGAAGAAAGUGGUUUUUACAAAACCCGAAGUACUAUAAUGUUAAAAAUGGACAAGUGGUUUGCUGGGCAUGAUAUCACCUGCAAGGCUACAACCUCCAAGCAUGGAGAUACAGUUCCGAUAUCCAAAACCGACACGAUUAAAAGCUGUGCAGCAUACGCAGCUGAGGUGUCCAUUUUGAAACUCUCACUUCAAGAUCUAUUUACGAAAAACUAUGUCACUGCUACAUGUGUUGUAAAGGCAUAUCCACUACAAGGAGUGGAAAUUAUCUGGAAAACUGAUGAGAAAAUUAUUAAUAAAACUGUGGAAAACAAUUUCUGUUCUGAAAAUGAGAUUAAAACUAUUAGAUAUACUGUCAAUAUACCUACCAGUGACUGGAAAGCCAAGAAGCCAUAUGUCUGUGAAGCAAAACACCAUUGUUUCAAAUCUUCCUUUGAAGCCAAAAUCACGAGGCAUGAAGUGAAAACAUCACCUUCCUUGUCCAUCUUGGGCCCAUUUUCUGACAAGAAUCAGCAGCAACAUUUCCUGCUCUGUAUGAUAAAUGGAUAUUUUCCUAACGGGAUAUACGUUAAAUGGCAGAAGAAUGGUGAGGAUGUUCCUGCAUUACGUUAUACAAACACCGAACCACAGUGUGUGACGGCAAAUCAGAAAUGCUCUGCUCAGAGCAAGUUGGACAUUCCACAAAGUGACAGAAACACUGAUGCCAAUUAUACCUGUAUGGUUGGGUAUGACCCUGAAAAGCCAAUGGAAAAUGCAACUAUUAUGGAUCCAUUUGUGUCUUUCACAUUACAGUGUCCAAAAGCUGAAGUCCUCUUCCUAGUAGAUGAAAAUCAGGAUGGCAAACUGAUCAGCUUAGCUUGCAGUGCCUUUGACUUUAGUCCAGAGGAUAUUAAUAUAACAUGGCUGUCAAACGGUACACAAGUAAUCCCAAGCAGGAAGGAGGCAACACUAAAAAUGCAUAAUGGGAAAUAUGCCACCAGUGCAAAAAUAAAUGUCUCCAUGGAAGAGUGGAAUGAAGGAAAACUAUAUGAAUGUAUGGUUUCUCUGUCAUCAUGUGACAACAUUUCAAGGAUUAUCUCUAAAUCAGCCUGGAUACCCCCAACACCACCAUCUCUCCAAGUCCAAGUAAAUUCAUGUGAAAAAGGAAACACAACAGUGAGUUUAAUAUGCCUGAUUUCCAACUUUAGCCCAAAAGAAAUUGAAGUUAAAUGGUUUUCAAAUGGGACGCUUAUGUCAUCUAACAACAAAUACAUGACAGGACAUGGUAUCCAGUUUCAGAUGACAAGCACUGUGACAGUCCCAGCUGACGAGUGGAACAAAUGGUAUAACUAUACGUGUCGAGCCUGGCAUGCUUCAACAAACUCUUCAAAAGAAGAAACCAUUAAUAAAUGCACAGGUGAGAGUGAAAUUGCAACAUUUUUUGUAGUACAUUCUGAUAUUAACAGUGCAGUAAACGUAUACUGUUCUGUGUACAGCUCUGGUAUUGUUUCUGGUCAGACAGGCAUGACCUUACAUUCUUUGAGUUGUGUAAUGUAA
Molecule: non-coding RNA, 2051 nt
Organism: Protopterus annectens (West African lungfish)
Lineage: Eukaryota; Metazoa; Chordata; Ceratodontiformes; Protopteridae
Source: the annotation of a RefSeq genome assembly